AGUGAACGCUGGCGGUAGGCCUAACACAUGCAAGUCGAACGGCAGCACAGUAAGAGCUUGCUCUUACGGGUGGCGAGUGGCGGACGGGUGAGGAAUACAUCGGAAUCUACUUUUUCGUGGGGGAUAACGUAGGGAAACUUACGCUAAUACCGCAUACGACCUACGGGUGAAAGCAGGGGAUCUUCGGACCUUGCGCGAUUGAAUGAGCCGAUGCCGGAUUAGCUGGUUGGCGGGGUAAAGGCCCACCAAGGCGACGAUACGUAGCUGGUCUGAGAGGAGGAUCGGCCACACUGGACCUGAGAAACGGUCAAGACUCCUACGGGAGGCAGCGGUGGGGAAUAUUGGCCAAUGGGCGCAAGCCUGAUCCAGCCAGACCGCGUGGGUGAAGAAGGCCUUCGGGUUGUAAAGCCCUUUUGUUGGGAAAGAAAAGCAGCAGGUUAAUACCCCGCUGUUCUGACGGUACCCAAAGAAUAAGCACCGGCUAACUUCGU
Molecule: ribosomal RNA, 491 nt
Filed under: uncultured bacterium
Lineage: Bacteria
Description: partial 16S ribosomal RNA
Rfam family: Bacterial small subunit ribosomal RNA
Source: RNAcentral